CCUACGGGAGGCAGCAGUGGGGAAUAUUGGACAAUGGGCGCAAGCCUGAUCCAGCCAUACCGCGUGUGUGAAGAAGGCCUUUUGGUUGUAAAGCACUUUAAGCGAGGAGGAGGGCACUUGGGCUAAUAUCCCGAUGUGUCGGACGUUACUCGCAGAAUAAGCACCGGCUAACUCUGUGCCAGCAGCCGCGGUAAUACAGAGGGUGCGAGCGUUAAUCGGAAUUACUGGGCGUAAAGCGCGCGUAGGCGGCUUGUUAAGUCGGAUGUGAAAUCCCCGGGCUCAACCUGGGCACUGCAUUCGAUACUGGCAAGCUAGAGUAUGGGAGAGGAAGGUAGAAUUCCAGGUGUAGCGGUGAAAUGCGUAGAGAUCUGGAGGAAUACCGAUGGCGAAGGCAGCCUUCUGGCCUAAUACUGACGCUGAGGUGCGAAAGCAUGGGGAGCAAACAGGAUUUAGAUACCCCUGGUAGUCCAUGCCGUAACGAUGUCAACUACGUCCGUUCGGGUACCGUUGUAGUCUUAGUUGGCGCGAGCUACGCGAGUAAGUUAGACCGCCGUGGGAGGUACGGUCGCGAGAACGUAAACGUACAAGUAGAGUUAGACGGCGUUGGAGGACGUUGGCCGACGGACGACGACGAGGGGAGGAGG
RNAcentral lists this ribosomal RNA (644 nucleotides) under uncultured bacterium. RNAcentral's name for it is "bacterial SSU rRNA". The stretch from base 1 to 552 matches the Rfam family "Bacterial small subunit ribosomal RNA", at positions 338 to 873 of the family's 1533-position model. The record is from RNAcentral.